This 253-nucleotide ribosomal RNA is filed under the name uncultured bacterium. RNAcentral's name for it is "partial 16S ribosomal RNA". It matches the Rfam family "Bacterial small subunit ribosomal RNA", at positions 524 to 776 of the family's 1533-position model. The record is from RNAcentral.
UACAGGGGGGGCAAGCGUUAUUCAUCGUUAUUUGGCGUAAAGAAUGCGUAGAUGUUUAAAUUAGUUUUCAAUAAAAAAUUAGCUGUAAUGUUAUUUAAAGUUGAAAAAACAAGUUAAAUAUGAGGAAAAUUUAAGUUAAUGGAAUUUCUAAAGGAAAAGUAAAAUUUGUAGAUAUUAGAAAGAAUACCGGCGGUGAAAACGAUUAGCUAAAAUUUCCUGACGUUGAUGCAUGAAGGUAUGGGUAGCAAACAGG